CCUACGUGUGGCAGCAGUGGGGAAUAUUGGGCAAUGGGCGCAAGCCUGACCCAGCAACGCCGCGUGAAGGAAGAAGGCUUUCGGGUUGUAAACUUCUUUUAAGAGGGAAGAGCAGAAGACGGUACCUCUUGAAUAAGCCACGGCUAACUACGUGCCAGCAGCCGCGGUGAUACGUAGGUGGCAUGCGUUGUCCGGAUUUACUGGGUGUAAAGGGCGUACAGCCGGGAAGACAAGUCAGUUGGUAAAUCCCGGGGCUUAACCGCGGAACUGGAUUUGAAACUGUUAUUCUUGAGUACCAGAGAGGUCAGCGGAAUUCCUUGUGUAGCGGUGAAAUGCGGAGAUAUAAGGAAGAACACCAGUGGCGAAGGCAGAGUACUGGACGGCAACUGACGGUGAGGCGCGAAAGCGUGGGGAGCAAACAGGAUUAGAUACCCCGGUAGUC
RNAcentral lists this ribosomal RNA (442 nucleotides) under uncultured bacterium. RNAcentral's name for it is "partial 16S ribosomal RNA". It matches the Rfam family "Bacterial small subunit ribosomal RNA", at positions 338 to 795 of the family's 1533-position model. The record is from RNAcentral.